Molecule: long non-coding RNA, 185 nt
Organism: Etheostoma cragini (Arkansas darter)
Lineage: Eukaryota; Metazoa; Chordata; Actinopteri; Perciformes; Percidae
Exons: 3
Source: RefSeq, a predicted model, not a curated record
UCUCCCUGUCUCUCUCUCUGUCUCUGUCUCUCUGCGUUCAGGAGACGACGACGGAGAAGGUUUCUACAAGUGGCUCGAAGGUUUGUGUUUGGAGAAGAGAGUUUUCUACCGACUCAUCUCCGGCCUCCACAGCAGCAUCAACAUCCACCUGUGUGCCGAGUACCUGCUGGACGGUACGUCCCUCU